This 301-nucleotide ribosomal RNA is filed under the name uncultured bacterium. RNAcentral's name for it is "partial 16S ribosomal RNA". It matches the Rfam family "Bacterial small subunit ribosomal RNA", at positions 509 to 807 of the family's 1533-position model. The record is from RNAcentral.
CAGCCGCCACGGGAAUACGUAGGUGGCAAGCGUUGUCCGGAAUUAUUGGGCGUAAAGGGCUCGCAGGCGGUUUCUUAAGUCUGAUGUGAAAGCCCCCGGCUCAACCGAGGAGGGUCAUUGGAAACUGGGAAACUUGAGUGCAGAAGAGGAGAGUGGAAUUCCACGUGUAGCGGUGAAAUGCGUAGAGAUGUGGAGGAACACCAGUGGCGAAGCCGACUCUCUGGUCUGUAACUGACGCUGAGGAGCGAAAGCGUGGGGAGCGAACAGGAUUAGAUACCCCUGUAGUCCCUGUCUCUUAUAC